RNAcentral lists this ribosomal RNA (254 nucleotides) under uncultured bacterium. RNAcentral describes it as "partial 16S ribosomal RNA". It matches the Rfam family "Bacterial small subunit ribosomal RNA", at positions 524 to 776 of the family's 1533-position model. The record is from RNAcentral.
UACGUAGGGGGCUAGCGUUGUCCGGAAUCAUUGGGCGUAAAGCGCGUGUAGGCGGCCCGGUAAGUCCGCUGUGAAAGUCGGGGGCUCAACCCUCGAAAGCCGGUGGAUACUGUCGGGCUCGAGUGCGGAAGAGGCGAGUGGAAUUCCUGGUGUAGCGGUGAAAUGCGCAGAUAUCAGGAGGAACACCGAUUGCGAAGGCAGCUCGCUGGGACGUUACUGACGCUGGAGACGCGAAAGCGUGGGGAGCAAACAGG